RNAcentral lists this ribosomal RNA (234 nucleotides) under uncultured bacterium. RNAcentral's name for it is "partial 16S ribosomal RNA". It matches the Rfam family "Bacterial small subunit ribosomal RNA", at positions 96 to 334 of the family's 1533-position model. The record is from RNAcentral.
CGGCGAACGGGUGAGUAACGCGUGGAUUAUCUGCCCUGAGGUGGGGGAUAACCGGGGGAAACUCUGGCUAAUACCGCAUAUGACCGUGAGGUCAAAGGGGGGUCGCAAGAUCUCUCGCCAUAGGAGGAGUCCGCGUACGAUUAGCUAGUUGGUAGGGUAAUGGCCUACCAAGGCGACGAUCGUUAGCCGGCCUGAGAGGGUGAUCGGCCACACUGGAACUGAGACACGGUCCAG